AGUGAACGCUGGCGGUAGGCCUAACACAUGUAAGUCGAACGGCAGCACAGUAAGAGCUUGCUCUUACGGGUGGCGAGUGGCGGACGGGUGAGGAAUACAUCGGAAUCUACUUUUUCGUGGGGGAUAACGGAGGGAAACUUACGCUAAUACCGCAUACGACCUACGGGUGAAAGCAGGGGAUCUUCGGACCUUGCGCGAUUGAAUGAGCCGAUGUCGGAUUAGCUAGUUGGCGGGGUAAAGGCCCACCAAGGCGACGAUCCGUAGCUGGUCUGAGAGGAUGAUCCGCCACACUGGAACUGAGACACGGUCCAGACUCCUACGGGAGGCAGCAGUGGGGAAUAUUGGACAAUGGGCGCAAGCCUGAUCCAGCCAUACCGCGUGGGUGAAGAAGGCCUUCGGGUUGUAAAGCCCUUUUGUUGGGAAAGAAAAGCAGCAGGUUAAUACCCCGCUGUUCUGACGGUACCCAAAGAAUAAGCACCGGCUAACUUCGUG
RNAcentral lists this ribosomal RNA (492 nucleotides) under uncultured bacterium. RNAcentral describes it as "partial 16S ribosomal RNA". It matches the Rfam family "Bacterial small subunit ribosomal RNA", at positions 29 to 507 of the family's 1533-position model. The record is from RNAcentral.